RNAcentral lists this non-coding RNA (25 nucleotides) under Mus musculus (house mouse). The record is from RNAcentral. Lineage: Eukaryota; Metazoa; Chordata; Mammalia; Rodentia; Muridae.
UGAUAGAGAGAGGGGCACUCGCAGU